Molecule: ribosomal RNA, 495 nt
Filed under: uncultured bacterium
Lineage: Bacteria
Description: partial 16S ribosomal RNA
Rfam family: Bacterial small subunit ribosomal RNA
Source: RNAcentral
GACGAACGCUGGCGGCGUGCCUAAUACAUGCAAGUAGAACGCUGAAGGCGGACCUUGCUUCUCUGGUUGAGUUGCGAACGGGUGAGUAACGCGUAGGUAACCUGCCUGGUAGUGGGGGAUAACUAUUGGAAACGAUAGCUAAUACCGCAUAAGAGUAGAUGUUGCAUGACAUUUGCUUAAAAGGUGCAAUUGCUUCACUACCAGAUGGACCUGCGUUGGAUUAGCUAGUUGGUGGGGUAACGGCUCACCUAGGCGAAGAUACAGAGCCGACAGGAGAGGGUGAUCAGCCGACCUGGGAGGGAGACAAGGCACAGAGGGCUGCGGGAGGCAGCCGUAGGGAUACUGCAGAGAUGGAUGGAAGUCUGACCAAGAAAGGCGGCGUGAGUGAGGAAUGAUGUCGGAUCGUAGAGCACUGUUGUAAGAGAAGAAAGCGCGUGGGCGUGGAACGUUCGCUGAGUGACGGUAACGGACAAGAAAGGGACGGCUAACUACGUG